UUAUCCUAUAAACCACGUAAUAUUCGAAAAGAAUCUUUGUUAUUUUUAACAUUCCACAAACACGAAAAUUUACCUUAUAGACAACAUCUCCAAAAUAUGUGGUCGAAUUAACAUAAAUACUUCCAUUAUUUAUACAACGCAUUCCUCGUCCGAUUCCCAAAGCGAAGCGCAGUGAAAAUUUUCGAAAUUUCGGACGUACUUAGCGCAAGUGAUGGGCUAAUGGCGAAUCGUGCGGUGCAGUGACAGGUAGACGUUCCGUGGUCGUUUUUUGGUAAUUUCGGGUGGUGUUAACUACGUAGAUGAUUACAAAUGAAGGCUAGUAGUUAGUCUGGUAUGUAAAUAUUUGUCCAAGAGGUAGAAUCGCGCGAGGUGCGUGUCCGUGUAAAGUGGACCGGGUCGGGCCAGUUUGGCAGUUGUUCCAGAGACUCAAUGGCACACCAGACAGAGACGGAGUUUUAGGAAUUCCACCCGCUGUAUCUUGUUAAGUCAUCUCGGCUCACGAUCGAGGAGAAGCCAGAUUUACGCCCACCUACUCGCCCAGUUUACACCGGCCCGAUUUCUCUUUGUAGCCACUUUGGCCAAGAUUCCAGAGCCGUAGCCGGAAAAUGCGCUCUUCCGGCACUGACCGCAUACUUUUAGUUGCAGCCCUGAGCGGAAGGAAUCGACCGCCUGCCGAAUUCCUAAGCAGAUGCUAAUUGCGAAAUUAGUUUUUAUGGCCGCAUAAAUAGGUUCCGAUUUUUCGAGCAUUAAUAUUUAUCGGGGUGGUGAGAGAUUGGCUAUCGCAAAUUUCGGCGCGAUUAUUAAGAAAAACGUGAGCCAAAUAUUUACAUUGUUUGCGGGAAUAUUAAACAAGCAAUAAACAACUGGCCAAAUGAGUAACUUUUUGCGAAUACAAGACGCUCGCUUUGUCGGUAUUACACGUGACAUUUUAAACACGGACGUGACCAGAAUUUCACGGGGACCUCCAAGACUAAAAUCACAUUUUUAACAACAAUUUUUUCAGCUACAAAGAACUAACUCAAUUUUACAAUCAACAAGCUCAUUACCACAUUUUUUGUUUCUAAUUACAGGUAACACGAAUUAUUUGUUUAUUUUUAAAUUGUACAACUGGCCCAAGCAAAAUAUCCAGUUGCAAAUUUUUAACCUACCGAAAAAAUUAUUCUCAGUUUUCUUAACAAAAUUUGUAAAUUUGUAAAAUUAAAAUCGAUAUUUUGCAUGCGGUGGUUUAGUCGAACUAAUUUUUAAUUAAGUUUUAAUUACUUUAAUAAUUUUAAUAAGCAAAUUGGCUAACUCCCGGUAAUAAAUGCUUUCGUACGUAUUUUCUUAGUGUAGUAAAAGGGAACAGACAAUUAUCCGACUUAAUUGGCAUCGGAUUUAGUUUUAGACGAUCAAACAUUAACCGGAAUUACGGAAUAUGUAAGCAUAAUGACUAGUAAUUUAAAGAUUACCAUUGGGAUCUGCAAACAGGUUGGAGUUAUUUCUGUUAGAUAUAAGAUGAAUAAUUAUUACAACUCGUCGUGGGUUAUAAAUGUUAUAAAUUGUAAUACUUUUAUCUUUCGGGAAAAUUUAUUCAAAUAGCUCGGAGACAUUAUGCAACUCUUAAUACACCCGUGCAUCCACGCUGCCAUUCAACUACGGAGGACUAUAACUUAGGAAACGAAAAACUAGGUACAAAAUCGCAGGAUUUUUUAAGAAUAUGGCGAUUUUCUUGACGUUAAACGAUUUUCCGGAUCAUUUUAUAUAAGAUAGUAUCAAAAUAGUUCUACUUUUUCGAAUAGUUUUGCCGUAAAUGAGGAAAAAAAUUGUAAAUAUUUUCUCCUAAACAUUUAACAUUUUGAGAAAAAAAAUCUAUUGUAUAGAUUUUAAUCUGCUCUUUAUGAGGGAAUAAAUCGUUAAGCUCUAAGAGUUAAAAAUUUACCGUAGUUGUUUCCUUCUUCGUCGAGUUUUUUGUCGAUAUUCGUUAUCCGGAACAUUUAUCAUGCAAUAACUCCCGAACUAUUAGUGAUAACCCUAUAAAGCUUAUUGCUUUUGAAAAGUUUUUUUAUUAUCUAUUUUUUUCAAAAAAAGGGUAAAUGUAAAAUAAAUUAUAAUUAAAAAACUAUUGGAAA
This is a long non-coding RNA of Tribolium castaneum (red flour beetle), 2108 nucleotides long. RefSeq lists it as uncharacterized. The record is from RefSeq and is a predicted model, not a curated record. The transcript is spliced from 2 exons. NCBI's taxonomy places the organism in Eukaryota, Metazoa, Arthropoda, Insecta, Coleoptera, Tenebrionidae.